Molecule: ribosomal RNA, 194 nt
Filed under: uncultured Glomus
Lineage: Eukaryota; Fungi; Glomeromycota; Glomeromycetes; Glomerales; Glomeraceae
Description: partial 18S ribosomal RNA
Rfam family: Eukaryotic small subunit ribosomal RNA
Source: RNAcentral
AGCAGCCGCGGUAAUUCCAGCUCCAAUAGCGUAUAUUAAAGUUGUUGCAGUUAAAAAGCUCGUAGUUGAAUUUCGGGACCAAUUUGUUGGUCGUGCCUCGGUACGUACUGGUAUUAUUGGUUUCUACCUUCUGAAGAACCUUGAUGUCAUUAAUUUGGUGUCUUGGGGAAUCAGGACUUUUACCUUGAGAAAAU